AGAGAGAGACAUGCGCGCAUAUCAAUAAGCGGAGGAAAAGAAACUAACAAGGAUUCCCUUAGUAACGGCGAGUGAAGCGGGAAGAGCUCAAAUUUGAAAUCUUCAAGGUUUUACCUUGACGAAUUGUAGUUUAAAGAAGUGUUUUCUGCUGAAGUUUUGGUAAAAGUUCUUUGGAAUAGGACAUCAUAGAGGGUGAGAAUCCCGUAUUUGACCAUUAUUUUCAGCUUUGUGAUACACUUUCAAAGAGUCGGAUUGUUUGGGAAUGCAGUCCAAAAUGGGUGGUAAAUUUCAUCUAAAGCUAAAUAUUGGCGAGAGACCGAUAGCGAGCAAGUACCGUGAGGGAAAGAUGAAAAGAACUUUGAAAGAGAGUUAAACAGUACGUGAAAUUGUCAAAAGGGAAGCGUUUGACACCAGUGUUGUUUUCUCGAAAAUCAAUUAAAAAUGGCUCGAUUUUGUAUUGCUUGAGACCUUAAAAGCUCACUGUACAUUUUUCGUGUCUUUUUUAAUGCACUUUUCGUUUAACAAGUCAACAUCAGUUUCUUUUGUUGUAAAAGGGUCAUUGGAAGGUGGCUUUCUUUUCGGAGAAAGUGUUUAUAGCCUUUGGCCUCUGCAAUCGGAGAGACUGAGGUCUGCAGCGUAGACUCUUCGGGGUUAGAUACAUUUGUGCUAAGUUAUAGCUUUUUAUAGACAACUUGUUGACUAUAAUUAGUCUUGUAGCUUACUCGCUUAUGCUAUUUUACCUACGCUUAGGAUGUUGAAGAUGUAGCACAUCAU
RNAcentral lists this ribosomal RNA (774 nucleotides) under uncultured Neocallimastigales. RNAcentral describes it as "partial large subunit ribosomal RNA". It matches the Rfam family "Eukaryotic large subunit ribosomal RNA", at positions 23 to 620 of the family's 3401-position model. Lineage: Eukaryota; Fungi; Neocallimastigomycota; Neocallimastigomycetes; Neocallimastigales. The record is from RNAcentral.